AGAUUGAACGCUGGCGGCAGGCCUAACACAUGCAAGUCGAGCGGUAGAGAGGUGCUUGCAUCUCUUGAGAGCGGCGGACGGGUGAGUAAUGCCUAGGAAUCUGCCUAGUGGUGGGGGAUAACGUUCGGAAACGGACGCUAAUACCGCAUACGUCCUACGGGAGAAAGCGGGGGGAUCUUCGGACCUCGCGCCAUUAGAUGAGCCUAGGUCGGAUUAGCUAGUUGGUGAGGUAAUGGCUCACCAAGGCGACGAUCCGUAACUGGUCUGAGAGGAUGAUCAGUCACACUGGAACUGAGACACGGUCCAGACUCCUACGGGAGGCAGCAGUGGGGAAUAUUGGACAAUGGGCGAAAGCCUGAUCCAGCCAUGCCGCGUGUGUGAAGAAGGUCUUCGGAUUGUAAAGCACUUUAAGUUGGGAGGAAGGGUAGUAACCUAAUACGUCGCUACUUUGACGUUACCGACAGAAUAAGCACCGGCUAACUUCGUG
Molecule: ribosomal RNA, 487 nt
Filed under: uncultured bacterium
Lineage: Bacteria
Description: bacterial SSU rRNA
Rfam family: Bacterial small subunit ribosomal RNA
Source: RNAcentral